This 963-nucleotide long non-coding RNA is filed under the name Marmota monax (woodchuck). The record is from RNAcentral. Lineage: Eukaryota; Metazoa; Chordata; Mammalia; Rodentia; Sciuridae.
GUUUUAAUAUCUUUUGAGUAUAUCCCUACUAGUGGAAUUGCUGACUCAAAUAGUAACUUUAUAUUUAACUUUUUAAGGCACUGCCAGACUGUCUUCUACUCUCAUUUUUUGCACACAUGCAUGUGUGCACGUAUCUCCUUUUCAGUCAUCUAUUUAUAUAAUAUAUUUAUUUCUGCCUUGGCUAUUUUUUGCUGUUCUUGGUACCUCUCAAACUUUUCCCAUCAUUACCCCUUUUAGGGUAGACUGCAUCAUAUCUUAGUAAUGUCUCUCUUCCCCUCCUCCCUGCCUCUCUCCUUUUUUUUCUCUCUCUCUGUUAGUACAUCUUUAUUCUUUCUCUAAACCUUUUUAAGCCAUUGAUAACUUAAAUUCUAGUUUUCUACAAUCAACUAUAAAAGGAAAUUCUGUUUGAUGCUUUGUAUUUAUUAAUAUUUCCCCAGCCCAUGAGAUUUUUACAACCCAAAUAAUCAUAUCUAUUUAGAUUAUAACAUCCAGUGUCAUAAAGCUAAAAGGAGAAGCAGCAUUAUAGCCAGUGAAUUCUGAAGCAUGAUCUAAGUAGUUUUAAUAGCAUAAGCAAUAAAGUAUCUUCUGUUUGCUUUCCAAGUUCUCAUUAAUCAAUAUUAUAGGUUUGUUUCUCAAUUUAUCUAGAGAAAAAUGAGCUCUGAAGUCAGGUGUCCCUGUUCUGAAUAGAUUCUACUAGUCACAGGGAUAAAAUACAGGACCACAUCUACAAAAUGAGAGGAAAAUUUACUAGGUAUAUUUUCUUUGAUCUUUUACAUACCUAAAAAGUACAUCUGUCUUCAUAGUUAUCUGCUUAUUUUUAUCAAGAGUGAAUCUUUGAAUAAUCCUUUAAUAUUGGCAAAUAAUAAUAAUAUUAGGUUUGAUAAAUAGUCUUUACAUGUGUGUAAAAUUGUUGUUACAGUAUGAGAGCAUAAAACAUUAAAUAUGUAAUGCAGGCACAGAAAU